CAGCGCCACAAGUGGCAAUCGCGAUUAUUGGGCCUAAAGCGUUCGUAGCCGGUUCGGCAAAUCUUUUGUGAAAGCGUCAGGCUUAACUUGACGAGUUGCAGAAGAAACUACCGAACUAGGAACCGGGAGGAGUCAGAAGUAUUCCGGGGGGACCGGUAAAAUGGUAUAAUCCCCGGAGGACUACCGAUGGCGAAGGCAUCUGACCAGAACGGAUUCGACGGUGAGGAACGAAAGCCAGGGGAGCAAACCGGAUUAGAUACCCGUGUAGUCC
Molecule: ribosomal RNA, 271 nt
Filed under: uncultured archaeon
Lineage: Archaea
Description: partial 16S ribosomal RNA
Rfam family: Archaeal small subunit ribosomal RNA
Source: RNAcentral